Symphalangus syndactylus (siamang) is the source of this 104-nucleotide small nuclear RNA. The record is from RefSeq and is a predicted model, not a curated record. Lineage: Eukaryota; Metazoa; Chordata; Mammalia; Primates; Hylobatidae.
UUGCUUCAACAGCAUAUAUACUAAAACUGGAAUGACACAGAUAAGAUUAGCGUAAGUUCCUGUGUAAGGAUGACAUGCAAAUAAAUGAAGCAUUCCAUAUUUUU